This 116-nucleotide ribosomal RNA is filed under the name Escherichia coli. The record is from RNAcentral. Lineage: Bacteria; Pseudomonadati; Pseudomonadota; Gammaproteobacteria; Enterobacterales; Enterobacteriaceae. RNAcentral also lists the same sequence under 2 other names.
UCUGGCGGCAGUAGCGCGGUGGUCCCAUCUGACCCCAUGCCGAACUCAGAAGUGAAACGCCGUAGCGCCGAUGGUAGUGUGGGGUCUCCCCAUGCGAGAGUAGGGAACUGCCAGAC